Molecule: ribosomal RNA, 252 nt
Filed under: uncultured bacterium
Lineage: Bacteria
Description: partial 16S ribosomal RNA
Rfam family: Bacterial small subunit ribosomal RNA
Source: RNAcentral
UACGGGGGGGCAAGCGUUGUUCGGAAUUACUGGGCGCAAAGCGAGUGUAGGUUGUUGUCCAAGUUGGAUGUGAAAGCCUUGAGCUCAACUCAAGAAAUGCAUUCAGGACUGGGCGGCUAGAGGACCGGAGAGGAUAGUGGAAUUCCCAGUGUAGUGGUGAAAUACGUAGAGAUUGGGAAGAACACCAGUGGCGAAGGCGGCUAUCUGGACGGUUUCUGACACUAAGACUCGAAAGCGUGGGGAGCAAACAGG